UCCUACCUUCUGUCUUUAUGUUCCCUCGGUGUUUAUGCAGUGUUGUCACCUGUCUAAUGAAAUCACAGGGACCCUGGUGACUUAGCUGCAGCCCACACACGGCCCCCGUGUGCACCCCGUCCUGGCCCCGCAAUCACCCAUCCACUAGACUGCCGUGUCUUUAGGUCUCUGGCAUUCCUAUGGUCAAGUUUAUACCUAACACACCGCCGACGCUUGUGUCCCUGUUCUGAUUUUAUUGAAGACCUGGAAGGAAGUUCUCAGGACCCGUUUCUCUCCCUCUGGCUCCCUUCAGGGCCACCUGGAUUGUGGCUCGUGGGUCACUUCGUGGGGACCCCCCGGACCCUGUUUUUACUAGGUGCCUGCUUUGGUUACAUGUCUGUGCCCUUCUGGACUCAGAGCUCUGGGGUCAGGACUGUGUCUGCCUGGGUCACCCCGUGUCCCAGGGCCCAGCCUCAUCAGGAGAACGCACAGCAAAGCCACAGUGCGACCCUACUUCACACCCACUCUGAUGGCUGGAACCGAAGGACAGACGGUGACUGUUGGCAAGGAUGUGCUCUUACACGCUGCGGGUAGGAUGUAGCACGGUGCAGCCAGUGUGGAGAACCUUCUGGCAGCUCCACGUAAAGCUAAAAAUAAAGUUGCCAUAUAACCUUAGUUCUACUUCCAGACAUAGACACAAGAGAAAUGUCAGCAUACGCGUGACACAGAUGCUCACAGCAGCACCAUUAGCAAUAGCUAAGAGGCGGCAGCAGCCCAGCAGCCACCAGUAGACGAACGCACCAACAGCAUGUGGUCCCUCCAUUCGGUGGACUGAUUUCAGCCGUAAGGGAGGAGGCACUGAGAGGCACUGGAACGUGGGUGAACCUUGGGAACUUCAUAGAUCUUUCCUCUGCGAGGGGCUGAGAGGCGGCCUUGCGGCAUGGACACUGGCACAGGGGAGAGGCGGGCGGGCGGGAGGUGCACUGGCCAAGCACUGAGGUUCUGGCCUCCUCCCCACGGAUGGUUCCCAGGAAGCCCCGUGACACACACAGCCUCUGAGAAGGUUGGUCUCCCUUCUGCUUGACUGCUGUGGUUCUGGACCAGGCGUGCCGCUCGGG
This is a long non-coding RNA of Hyaena hyaena (striped hyena), 1097 nucleotides long. RefSeq lists it as uncharacterized. The record is from RefSeq and is a predicted model, not a curated record. Lineage: Eukaryota; Metazoa; Chordata; Mammalia; Carnivora; Hyaenidae. The transcript has 3 exons.